This 253-nucleotide ribosomal RNA is filed under the name uncultured bacterium. RNAcentral's name for it is "partial 16S ribosomal RNA". It matches the Rfam family "Bacterial small subunit ribosomal RNA", at positions 524 to 776 of the family's 1533-position model. The record is from RNAcentral.
UACGUAGGGUGCAAGCGUUGUCCGGAAUUAUUGGGCGUAAAGAGCUCGUAGGCGGUCUGUCGCGUCUGCUGUGAAAACUCGGGGCUUAACCCCGGGCCUGCAGUGGGUACGGGCAGACUAGAGUGCGGUAGGGGAGACUGGAAUUCCUGGUGUAGCGGUGAAAUGCGCAGAUAUCAGGAGGAACACCGGUGGCGAAGGCGGCAUCCUGGACCAAUUCUGACGCUGAGGAGCGAAAGCCAGGGGAGCAAACGGG